CCAAAUCCCAAGACCCAAAACAAUAGAAAAGAACUAAGCUUGACACUUUGAAUCCUGGGUCGUAGUUUCAGUCAACUCUGAAGCUCUCCUAUGCACUCCCAUAUCUUUUCCUUAUUUACUUGAUUUAUUUACUUGAUUUGUGUUCCAUUUUCUUUCCUUUUUGUUCUUACCUACCUAGAUUGGGAGUCGAAAUUUUAGUCCCAAUUCUAGUCCAAACGGCUAUCUUGUUUGAAGACUCGCAUGAUUUUCUUUCCAUUUGAGCACCCGCAGAUUUAAAAUCAACUGGAUGAAUGUAGAUAGAUUUGGGGGUAAGUGUUCUUUGUUUCUCAUAUUGAUCCAAUCGCAAUUAUAGAAUAUUUCUUUUGAUUUUCGAAUUUUAAAGGAAGUGUAAUUUUUGAAUUUUUACUGAUUAUAUGGAACUAAUUUUUCCCCAAAAACUAUAGUACCUUGUUUUUUAGCAUUAAUCAACAACGGCUCUUUUCAAAGAAAAUUUGCUUGUAAUGAUACACAAUUUUUACUGAUUUCUUUCCUUCCUAAUUACAAACGUUUAUUUUAUUCAAAGCUAUAAAUAUUGGCAUCCUUGGCACUUCAAGAGGGGGAAAAAAAGAAGAAAUUGGCAUUUUCGAUCACUACUUUCACUGCAACUAUAGCAAUUUUCACUAUUGAGAUAUUACUGUAAUUGCCUCUCCGCUUGCCGGCUAUAAGCUAAGGGAAAGCUUGGUUCUUUACCCUCACUUAAUAUAAAUACUGCUCGAAACUCUCGAGGUUCUCAUGAUCUCAAAGUAUCAAGUUCGGGUAUCAAUAGUAGAUGUUGUUCAACUUCAUUUUCGGCGAUUAGUUAUUGGACUUUAAUCGUGAUUCGGAUUUCUGGCUUUUUAUAUUUAUCUCUGCACGUCAAACUGGUUAGUCUUUUAGACGACUCAUUUAAAUUUCGUAUGUGAUAAUUGUAUGUAAAAUAGUUAGUUUUAAUUCACACAUGAUAUGUUGCUUGAAUGCUAAAAGCAUUCUACUUGGAAGCGCGCAGGUUAGCGCUCUUCUCCUUUCUCCAGAAUUUUGCCUUAUGUGUGUAUGAAAUUUUGUAUGCAUAUGGCCGUGCUGCCAGUGCCAGGUAUCUAAAUUUGGUUUGGAUGAGAAUUUGGGUCGCCGUAAAUGCAAGGCCUAAAAGAGGGGUCAACCUGGAGUUCUGAAGCUGUCUAGUUAUUUUCCUAGGCCAUACCAUUUUUAUCUACUUGAGCAUGUAAUAAGACACUGAUAGUUGUGAAGGGAUAUUGGAAAAAGGAGUGAUUUGCUAUUGCGUGCUAAUUUUUAUUUUCUGCUCGUUUAUGUGCUA
Long non-coding RNA from Nicotiana tabacum (common tobacco), 1330 nucleotides. RefSeq lists it as uncharacterized. Lineage: Eukaryota; Viridiplantae; Streptophyta; Magnoliopsida; Solanales; Solanaceae. The record is from RefSeq and is a predicted model, not a curated record.